GGACGACGCUGGCGGCGUGCCUAACACAUGCAAGUCGAGCGGGGACAUACGACGGACAGGAAGUUUUCGGAUGGAAUGGAAGAUGUAUGUUCUAGCGGCGGACGGGUGAGUAACGCGUGAGCAACCUGUCCCUUACAGGGGGAUAACACAGCGAAAGCUGUACUAAUACCGCAUAAGACCACAGAGAGACAUCUCACAGGGGUCAAAGGAGCAAUCCGGUGAAGGGUGAGCUCGCGUCCGAUUAGAUAGUUGGUGAGGUAACGGCCCACCAAGUCAACGAUCGGUAGCCGACCUGAGAGGGUGAUCGGCCACAUUGGGACUGAGACACGGCCCAGACUCCUACGGGAGGCAGCAGUGGGGAAUAUUGGGCAAUGGGGGCAACCCUGACCCAGCCAUGCCGCGUGAGGGAAUGAGGCCCUACGGGUCGUGAACCUCUUUUAUUCGGGGACAAGGACGCGCACGAGAUGCGCGUUUGAGGGUACCGAAGGAAUAAGCGUCGGCUAACUCCGUGCC
This 513-nucleotide ribosomal RNA is filed under the name uncultured organism. Its description in RNAcentral is "SSU rRNA". It matches the Rfam family "Bacterial small subunit ribosomal RNA", at positions 33 to 509 of the family's 1533-position model. The record is from RNAcentral.